CGUGCUUAACACAUGCAAGUCGAACGGUGAAAGCAGAGCUUGCUCUGCUGGAUCAGUGGCGAACGGGUGAGUAACACGUGAGUAACCUGCCCUUGACUCUGGGAUAAGCGUUGGAAACGACGUCUAAUACCGGAUAUGACCUCCGACGGCAUCGUCUGGGGGUGGAAAGAAUUUUGGUUGAGGAUGGACUCGCGGCCUAUCAGCUUGUUGGUGAGGUAAUGGCUCACCAAGGCGACGACGGGUAGCCGGCCUGAGAGGGUGACCGGCCACACUGGGACUGAGACACGGCCCAGACUCCUACGGGAGGCAGCAGUGGGGAAUAUUGCACAAUGGGCGCAAGCCUGAUGCAGCAACGCCGCGUGAGGGAUGACGGCCUUCGGGUUGUAAACCUCUUUUAGUAGGGAAGAAGCGAAAGUGACGGUACCUGCAGAAAAAGCACCGGCUAACUACGUGCCAGCAGCCGCGGUAAUACGUAGGGUGCAAGCGUUGUCCGGAAUUAUUGGGCGUAAAGAGCUCGUAGGCGGUUUGUCGCGUCUGCUGUGAAAACUGGAGGCUCAACCUCCAGCCUGCAGUGGGUACGGGCAGACUAGAGUGCGGUAGGGGAGAUUGGAAUUCCUGGUGUAGCGGUGGAAUGCGCAGAUAUCAGGAGGAACACCGAUGGCGAAGGCAGAUCUCUGGGCCGUAACUGACGCUGAGGAGCGAAAGCGUGGGGAGCGAACAGGAUUAGAUACCCUGGUAGUCCACGCCGUAAACGUUGGGAACUAGAUGUG
This 770-nucleotide ribosomal RNA is filed under the name Microbacteriaceae bacterium. RNAcentral describes it as "bacterial SSU rRNA". It matches the Rfam family "Bacterial small subunit ribosomal RNA", at positions 43 to 824 of the family's 1533-position model. The record is from RNAcentral. Lineage: Bacteria; Bacillati; Actinomycetota; Actinomycetes; Micrococcales; Microbacteriaceae.